RNAcentral lists this ribosomal RNA (3618 nucleotides) under Triticum aestivum (bread wheat). Its description in RNAcentral is "partial small subunit ribosomal RNA". The record is from RNAcentral. Lineage: Eukaryota; Viridiplantae; Streptophyta; Magnoliopsida; Poales; Poaceae.
AUGCGGUCACACCAUUGCCCAAACAGCAGCAGAUUCCCCUUGCCUUUUCUAGGAUUGGCUCUCGUGCUGCUGAUAUCCUUGGCCCCUCCGACCAGCUCCUGCACGGAGCAGGAGAAGAGCUCCCUCCUCCAGCUCCUUGCUGGGUUCUCGCAGGACGGCGGCCUCGGGUCGUCAUGCCGGAACGAUACGGACUGCUGCACUUGGGAAGGGAUCACCUGCAGCCCCAACAGGAUGGUCAGUGCUGUUUUGUUGGCCUCUCGAGGCCUCGAGGGGUCCAUCUCGCAGUUCCUUGGAAAUCUCACAGGCUUAUUGCGCCUCAACCUGUCGUGCAACUCACUGUCCGGUGGCUUGCCGCUGGAAUUGGUAUCAUCCAGCAACAUCACUGUCCUUGAUGUCAGUUUCAACCGCCUGACAGGAGCCCUGAGCGAGCUGCCAUCUUCAACCCCUGCAUGGCCUUUGCAGAGCCUGGUCGUGCUCAAUGCCAGCACCAAUAGUUUUACUGGGCAUCUACCAACUACACUCUGUCUCAGCGCACCAUCUUUUUCUGUGCUUGAACUCAGUAUUAACAAAUUCAGUGGAAAUAUUCCUCAUGGACUCGGUAAUUGCUCCAUGCUGAAAUUGCUAAGCGCUGGCUAUAACAACCUCAGUGGAACUCUUCCAGAUGAGGUCUUCAAAGUUACAUCAUUAGAGCACCUCUCUUUACCUAAUAAUUGGUUAGAAGGAGCACUCAAUGGCAUCACCAAGCUCACAAAUUUGGUCACCCUUGAUCUUGGGGGCAACAAGAUCAACGGCAAUAUACCGGAUGCCAUAGGCAAGCUGAAGAGUUUGGAGGAGCUGCAUUUGGAACAAAACCACAUGUCAGGGGAGCUUCCAUCAGCAUUGAUCAACUAUACACAUCUCACAACAAUUAUCUUAAAGGGCAACCAAUUUCACGGAGAACUUACCAAGGUCAACUUCUCAAACUUGCCCAAUCUAAAAAAGUUAGAUCUCCUGCACAAUAACUUCAUCGGCAACAUUCCAGAAAGCUUAUACUCGUGCAGCAAGCUGACUGCACUACGGCUCUCCAGCAAUCAUUUCCAUAGCCAACUGUCAGAAAAGAUAGACAUAUCAAACAACAGCUUUACAGGUGAAAUUUCAACUGCCUUAAUGGAGAUGCCAAUGCUAAAAUCAGACAAGACUGCACCAAAGGUCUUCUUUGAACUGCCUGUGUAUCUUUUCAGUCCAUUUAUCCAAUACCUCAAACCUGGUGCUUUUCCAAAAGUGCUUAAUCUAGCCAUCAAUAAAUUCACUGGUGUGAUCCCAGGGGAGAUCGGUCAACUAAGAGCGCUCGUUUCACUUAAUUUGAGCUCCAACAAAUUAUCAGGAGAGAUCCCACAACCAAUCUGCACCCUCACAAAUCUGCAGAUGCUCGACAUGUCCAGCAAUCAUCUUACUGGCCAGCUUAGCACGUUUCCAGAUUCUAGCUUUGAUGAAAACCCAAAAUUGUGUGGUCCUUCGAUUGUAAACCAUUGCGGUUCAGCGGAAGCAAGUCCAGAGUCCAUCAACUCCAGAGAAGAGAUUGGCAGUAAGACCAGCUCCUGCACCGAGCAGGAGAAGAGCUCCCUUCUCCAGCUCCUCGCCGGGCUCUCGCAGGACGGCGGCCUCACGACGUCGUGGCGGCACGACACCGACUGCUGCACAUGGGAAGGGAUCACCUGCAAUCAAGAUAGGAAGGUCACUGAUGUUUCGUUGGCUUCUCGAGGCCUCGAGGGGCCCAUCUCGCCGUUCCUUGGCAACCUCACCGGACUUUUGCGCCUCAACCUUUCCCGGAACUUGCUGUCUGGUGGCUUGCCACUGGAAUUAGUGUCAUCCAGCAGCAUCCUUGUUCUUGACAUCAGCUUCAACCGCCUCACAGGAGGCCUGAGCAAGCUGCCAUCUUCAACCCCUGCGCGGCCUCUGCAGGUACUCAACAUCUCAAGCAACUGGCUUACAGGCAUAUUACCAUCCACAACAUGGGAGGUGAUGAAGAGCCUGGUCGUUCUUAAUGCUAGUUCCAACAGAUUUACUGGUCAGAUACCAACUACACCAUGUGUUAGCGCGCCAGCUUUUGCUGUGCUUGAGCUCAGUUUCAACCAACUCAGUGGGAACAUCCCUCCAGGACUCAGUAAUUGCUCGGUGCUGAAAUUGCUUGGUGUUGGCUACAACAACCUCAAUGGUACACUUCUAGAUGAACUCUUCAACGUAACCUCGUUAGAGCACCUCUCGUUGCCUAGCAAUAGGUUAGAAGGAGCUCUCGAUGGCAUUAGCAAGCUCACAAAUCUGGUCACCCUUGAUCUUGGCGGGAAUGAGCUCAGCGGCAAUAUUCCAGAGUCUAUAGGUGAUCUGAAGAGAUUGGAGGAGCUGCAUUUGGAACACAACAACAUGUCAGGGGAGCUGCCAGCAGCUCUAGGCAACUGCACAAAUCUUGUAACAAUUGACUUCAAGGCAAACCAAUUUAGUGGGGAACUUACCAAGGUCAACUUCGCAAGUCUGUCCAAUCUAAAUAAACUAGAUCUUCUUUCCAAUAAUUUCACCGGCACAGUUCCAGAAAGCAUAUACUCCUGUAGCAAGCUAACUGCACUACGGCUAUCUUACAAUCCUUUCCACGGUCAAUUGUCAGAAAAAUUAUUCAAUAUGAAGUCCCUCUUAUUCCUAUCACUUGCUAAUAACUCUCUCACAAAUAUCACAAGAACACUUCAGAUGCUUAGCAGUUCCAGGAGCCUCACCACCCUUUAUAUUGGGUGCAACUUCCUGCAUGAGACCAUGCCAGAGGAUGUCAGCAUUGAUGGUUUUCAGAAUCUCCAGGUUCUUUAUAUAAAUCAUUGUUCAUUGUCUGGAAAAAUACCUGAUUGGUUAUCAAAGCUACCGAAUUUGGGGAUGCUAUUUUUGCAAGGCAAUCAACUAACUGGACCGAUACCUGAAUGGAUCAGCAGCCUAAAUUUUCUCUUCUCUCUAGAUAUAUCAAACAACAGCCUUACAGGGGAAAUUCCAAGGUCCUUAAUGGAGAUGCCAAUGCUAGAAUCAGAUAAUACUGCACCAAAGGUAUUCUUUGAGCUGCCUGUUUGGAACAAGAACCAAUUUCUGCAAUACCUCACGCCCAGUGCUUUUCCUAAAGAGCUUAAUCUAGCCAUGAAUAGUUUCACUAGUAUGAUUCCGGCAGAGAUCGGUAGGUUACAAGGACUAUUUUCACUUAACUUGAGCUCCAACAGAUUAUCUGGAGAGAUACCAGAACAGAUCUGCAAUCUCACGAACCUGCAGAUGCUCGACUUGUCUGGUAAUCAUCUCACUGGUAAGAUUCCAGCUGCAUUGAACAAUCUGCACUUCCUUUCCAGAUUCAACAUUUCUAAUAAUGACCUAGAAGGCCCUAUUCCAAACAUGGGCCAGUUCAGCACGUUUCCGGAUUCUAGCUUUGGUGGAAACCCAAAACUGUGUGGCCCUAUGGUUGCAAACCAUUGUGGUUCGGCAGAAGCGAGUCCAGUUUCCAUUGACCCCAUAAAACAGAUUGGUAGUGAAGCCAUCAUCUUUAUGACCGCCUUCGGUGUUUUCUUUGGAGUAGGAGUCCUAUAUGAUCAGAAAGUCUUAGCUAGACAUUUUGGCUGA